This is a non-coding RNA of Cordylochernes scorpioides, 74 nucleotides long. The record is from the annotation of a GenBank genome assembly. Lineage: Eukaryota; Metazoa; Arthropoda; Arachnida; Pseudoscorpiones; Chernetidae.
UAUCCAAGGAUGGGAAUCGAACCCACAGUGUUCUGCUUACUGGGCAGAUGGCAUGUCCACUAGAUGACUUAGAU